AACGAACGCUGGCGGCAUGCCUAACACAUGCAAGUCGAACGAGACCUUCGGGUCUAGUGGCGCACGGGUGCGUAACGCGUGGGAACCUGCCCUUAGGUUCGGAAUCACUCCCCGAAAGGGGUGCUAAUACCGGUUAAUGUCUUCGGACCAAAGAUUUAUCGCCUUUGGAUGGGCCCGCGUUGGAUUAGCUAGUUGGUAGGGUAAAAGCCUACCAAGGCGACGAUCCAUAGCUGGUGUGAGAGGAUGAUCAGGCACACUGGGACUGAGACACGGCCCAGACUCCUGCGGGAGGCAGCAGUGGGGAAUAUUGGACAAUGGGCGACAGACUGAUCCAGCCAUGCCGCGUGAGUGAUGAAGGCCUUAGGGUUGUAAAUCUCUUUUACCCGGGAUGAUAAUGACAGUAACGGGAGAAUAAGCUCCGGCUAACUCCGUG
Molecule: ribosomal RNA, 433 nt
Filed under: uncultured bacterium
Lineage: Bacteria
Description: partial 16S ribosomal RNA
Rfam family: Bacterial small subunit ribosomal RNA
Source: RNAcentral